This 200-nucleotide long non-coding RNA is filed under the name Vitis vinifera (wine grape). RNAcentral describes it as "long non-coding RNA (VVIN_LNC005201)". Lineage: Eukaryota; Viridiplantae; Streptophyta; Magnoliopsida; Vitales; Vitaceae. The record is from RNAcentral.
UUUGUAUUGCUUCGUCAUAUCUAUUUGUGAGAGAGAUGAGUGACCUUCUCCUAAGGACUCCGAGUCAUUGUCCUUUCCAUCAUUACGUUCAUUAUUGAUGUGACUUCGCUUCAUGUUUGAUCUAGGUCGAUCACCACUUUUCUUCACGUAUUCAUUGUAUCGCCAUCGUUUUUAUCGUUGCUUGUGAUUCAUCUCAUUCC